AGAAAAACCUCAAAUUGGAAGGGUAAAAUUAUGCUCCUUGCCCCUUUGACCUUUUAAUUUGUAUUUUGAAUGUUUGUGUGUGUGUGUGUGUGUGUGUGUGUGUGUGUGUUUGUUUUGUAGGAAUCAUGCACUUUGCACAGAGAAGAUUCUCUGGAUGUGGGUGUGCAUGUGUUUGAGCUCUUGCUGGAGGAUUAUCCCGUUUCAAACAUAACUCUGACUGACGAAAACGGGGUCUUCUCAGUCAGUAAUGCAUUCAAUGAGAGCAGUAACCCAACCGCUCUCAGUCAAGUGCCUCUGCAGUUUGCAGUUGAAAUUCUUCCACCAUCUCAGGGUUGUGUACCAGGCGUGAACAAACCAAGUUUCUUGACACCAACUCCUUUACAUGGAGAUGUGCAUCAUGCCGCUGUGGGAGAGGUGCAUGAGAUCACCCUGCGAGCACAGAUCUCAGACAACAGCAUCUUUGACUUCCAGGUCAGUGGCCCCUCUAAUAUGUCUAAGACCCUGACAAGUGAGAGUAAUGGAGUUUUGGAGGCAACACUGACUUGGACUCCACAGAAGACAGAUUUGUACCGUCGUGUACCUGUGUGUUUCGCAGCAGAGGCACUUCACAGUCAGUCAGAAAUGAGGUGCAUCAUCGUGACUGUGGCAAAAGCAAGGGUUCUUUCAGGUAAAUACAUUAGCAGAAACAUCUUUUACGUAAGGAUUUGAAUACAGAU
This 716-nucleotide long non-coding RNA is filed under the name Sinocyclocheilus grahami. RNAcentral describes it as "lncRNA (ENSSGRG00000033116.1)". Lineage: Eukaryota; Metazoa; Chordata; Actinopteri; Cypriniformes; Cyprinidae. The record is from RNAcentral.